GACGAACGCUGGCGGCGUGCUUAACACAUGCAAGUCGAACGGAAAGGCCCCUUUGGGGGUACUCGAGUGGCGAACGGGUGAGUAACACGUGAGUAACCUGCCCUUGACUUCGGGAUAACUUCAGGAAACUGGGGCUAAUACCGGCUAGGAAUCCGUGCUGCAUGGUGGGGGUUGGUAGGCUUCGGCGGUUUUGGAUGGACUCGCGGCUUAUCAGCUUGUUGGUGGGGUAGUGGCUUACCAAGGCUUUGACGGGUAGCCGGCCUGAGAGGGCGACCGGCCACAUUGGGACUGAGAUACGGCCCAGACUCCUACGGGAGGCAGCAGUGGGGAAUAUUGCACAAUGGGCGGAAGCCUGAUGCAGCAACGCCGCGUGCGGGAUGACGGCCUUCGGGUUGUAAACCGCUUUCAACAGGGACGAAGCUUUUGUGACGGUACCUGCAGAAGAAGCACCGGCUAACUACGUG
Molecule: ribosomal RNA, 464 nt
Filed under: uncultured bacterium
Lineage: Bacteria
Description: partial 16S ribosomal RNA
Rfam family: Bacterial small subunit ribosomal RNA
Source: RNAcentral